AUGCCGCGUGCAGGANGACUGCCCUAUGGGUUGUAAACNNNNUUUUAUANNNGGAAGAAACACUGCUACGUGUAGCAGCUUGACGGUACUGUAAGAAUAAGGAUCGGCUAACUCCGUGCCAGCAGCCGCGGUAAUACGGAGGAUCCAAGCGUUAUCCGGAAUCAUUGGGUUUAAAGGGUCCGUAGGUGGAUAAUUAAGUCAGAGGUGAAAUCCUGCAGCUCAACUGUAGAAUUGCCUUUGAUACUGGUUAUCUUGAGUUAUUAUGAAGUAGUUAGAAUAUGUAGUGUAGCGGUGAAAUGCAUAGAUAUUACAUAGAAUACCAAUUGCGAAGGCAGAUUACUAAUAAUAUACUGACACUGAUGGACGAAAGCGUGGGGAGCGAACAGGAUUAGAUACCCUGGUAGUCCACUGNNGCCUCCCGUAGG
Molecule: ribosomal RNA, 425 nt
Filed under: Formosa sp. Asnod2G11
Lineage: Bacteria; Pseudomonadati; Bacteroidota; Flavobacteriia; Flavobacteriales; Flavobacteriaceae
Description: partial 16S ribosomal RNA
Rfam family: Bacterial small subunit ribosomal RNA
Source: RNAcentral